Molecule: small nuclear RNA, 105 nt
Organism: Bison bison bison
Lineage: Eukaryota; Metazoa; Chordata; Mammalia; Artiodactyla; Bovidae
Source: Ensembl
GUGCUUGCUUCAGCAGCAUGUCUACUAAAAAAUUAGAAUGAUGCAGAAAAGAUUAGCAUGGUCCCUGUGCAAGAAUGACAAAUUCAUGGAGCAUUCCAUUAUACU